Molecule: ribosomal RNA, 728 nt
Filed under: Escherichia sp.
Lineage: Bacteria; Pseudomonadati; Pseudomonadota; Gammaproteobacteria; Enterobacterales; Enterobacteriaceae
Description: bacterial SSU rRNA
Rfam family: Bacterial small subunit ribosomal RNA
Source: RNAcentral
AUUGAACGCUGGCGGCAGGCCUAACACAUGCAAGUCGAGCGGAUGACGGGAGCUUGCUCCUUGAUUCAGCGGCGGACGGGUGAGUAAUGCCUAGGAAUCUGCCUGGUAGUGGGGGACAACGUUUCGAAAGGAACGCUAAUACCGCAUACGUCCUACGGGAGAAAGCAGGGGACCUUCGGGCCUUGCGCUAUCAGAUGAGCCUAGGUCGGAUUAGCUAGUUGGUGGGGUAAUGGCUCACCAAGGCGACGAUCCGUAACUGGUCUGAGAGGAUGAUCAGUCACACUGGAACUGAGACACGGUCCAGACUCCUACGGGAGGCAGCAGUGGGGAAUAUUGGACAAUGGGCGAAAGCCUGAUCCAGCCAUGCCGCGUGUGUGAAGAAGGUCUUCGGAUUGUAAAGCACUUUAAGUUGGGAGGAAGGGCAGUAAGUUAAUACCUUGCUGUUUUGACGUUACCGACAGAAUAAGCACCGGCUAACUCUGUGCCAGCAGCCGCGGUAAUACAGAGGGUGCAAGCGUUAAUCGGAAUUACUGGGCGUAAAGCGCGCGUAGGUGGUUUGUUAAGUUGGAUGUGAAAGCCCCGGGCUCAACCUGGGAACUGCAUCCAAAACUGGCAAGCUAGAGUACGGUAGAGGGUGGUGGAAUUUCCUGUGUAGCGGUGAAAUGCGUAGAUAUAGGAAGGAACACCAGUGGCGAAGGCGACCACCUGGACCUGAUACUACACUAGGU